Molecule: long non-coding RNA, 3172 nt
Filed under: Gossypium barbadense (sea-island cotton)
Lineage: Eukaryota; Viridiplantae; Streptophyta; Magnoliopsida; Malvales; Malvaceae
Description: long non-coding RNA (GBAR_LNC000284)
Source: RNAcentral
GUAUAUGGGCAACAAGGAUCCUUCUUGAGAAAGGGUUCAUCUAGCAAGUUGAAAGUAGUAGACUAAUCUCCGGUUAGGAUAUGUAUGGGAUCCCAAGAGACAAACCCUGCAAAGUAUAAUUAACUCGAGUGAGUGAAAUUGAGUGGGUAGCAAAUUUGAUUGAUGAUCAAACCCAGAAAUGGAAGGAGGACCAAAUAUUGACCUCAUUUGAUAUUCAGGAGGCAAGGAAAAUUCUGAGCAUUCCAUUGGCGCCACAUUAGACAACAGAUCGACUGAGACGGUGCCUAGAAAGCUCAAGUGAGUACACGUGUAACACCCCUUACCCGAGACCGUCUCCGGAAUCGAGUACGAGAUGUCAUCCAAUUUAACUUACCGAUUCGGAGCAUAAAAAUUUGCUUUUAAAAUUAAAUUCACUGUUCAUAACAACACUGUCCACCUGCGCAACUGUCACUAAUUUAAUUAUAAAUUGAGUUACGAAACUCAAAAUUUAAAUCCGUAAAUUUUCCGUGAAACUAGACUCAUAUUCCUACUUACCAUAAAAUUUUCAGAAUUUUUUACUUAGCACAUUAGUACAGUUUAUUCAUUAAAUUAUCCCCUGUUUCACAGCUCGACAGAUCUGACCUCUUGGAGCUAAAAAUCAAAUAUCUAAUUGUACAGAAUUCAUAUAAGGUUACCAUUAAUUUAUUUUGAAAAUAGACUCACUAAGGAAUCUAAACAUAUAAAUUAUGACCUAUAAUUAUUUCUGUACAAUUUAUAAUGAUUUUCUAAAGUUAGAACAGGGGACUUCAAAAACCAUUCUGACCCUGUCUCACUAAAAUUUAAAUAUCUAAAAAUAUAAAAUUCCUUUGCCUACACCUUUUCUUUCAUGUAAAAAUAGACUUGAUAAGCUUUAAUUCUAUAUAUCAUUCACCCUCUAAUUCCAUUUCUACUAUUUAUGGUGAUUUUUCACAUUCACGUCACUGCUGCUGUCAAAGAAACUGCUUCUUUGAAUUAGUUACCAUUUAAACAUACAUAACUCCAAAACAUAUUCUUUAAUAACUACUUCAAUAGCUAACAUUAGCCAUAUCAUUUGGACAUGCUCAAAAUGAUUAAGACUCUAUACAUGCCAUAGUUUAAACAUUUUGAAAAGCACAUAAUACCGAGAUGGUUAUGAUAGUGUGAUACGAGCUCCGACGGUCCACUAUUCGAUCAAGUUCAAAUCACUAUAAAACAAAGGAAAGAAAGAGAUGUGUAAGCUAUAAAUAGCUUAGUAAGUUACAUGUAAACAAUAAUUACUCAAUUAAUAAUUAACACUUUUAACAUAUAACUAAUCAAAACAUUUCUUAGCAAUUUCAAUUACUUACACAUACACAAUCUUACCAAUUCACUUGCAUAUACAUUUUCACACUUAACAUUUCAUAUUCACUUUAAUUCAUUAUUAAUCCCGUUGAACACUUGGAAUAUACACGGAUACGUAGAGAUUUAGCACAUAAGUGCCACACUAAUAUGUAGCCGAAGCUACCACUGAUAUGUAGCCGAAGCUACCACUGGAUGUAGCCAAAGCUACCACUGAAAUGUAGCCGAAGCUACCACUGAUCAAGAACACUGGAAAUGUCCACGGGUCUGCUCACACAAGCUGUCAGGUGUCUGCAACACAUGCUAGAUCACCCAGCACCCGGGACUCACUGUAACACUGUAACACUGGUCUCUAGUGACAUGUCACUUGUAUCCAAUUCUAUUCCUAAGUUCAACCGAGAAUUUACACUUAACACUUUAUUUUCAACACUUUAUCACUUGAAUAAUUCAUGAACAACUUUCCUUCCACAUUCAAUAUUAAUUCACAUAUCAAAUAUAAUUCACAAUUUAUACAAAUAUAACUAUUAUUUACAUAUAACUUACCUCGGAUGCAAAACGACUAUUUUUGUAAUUUAGUCGAUAACUUUCUCUUUUCCUCGAUCACUUGCACUAUUUCUUCUUUCUUGAUCUAUAUUAACACAAUUUAAUACAUUUUAUCAAUAUUCCAUUCAAAUACAAUUCAUACACAACAUUUUGACACAUUUACAUUUUUCCCCAUAACUUUUCAAAAAUUCCACUUUUGUCCCUAAGCUCGUAAAAAUAAAAUUCUCUAAAUUCUUAAAUUUCAAACUUCACUAAAUCAUAUUUCAUGCUCAUAACGGGCCUCAAUUUCACAAAAUCACAACUUUAUGCACACUUUACCAUCUUUCACAAUUUAGCCCUUUUUCAACAUUUUUCAUUGAAAUUCAUCUAGUAAAACUUGUAAUUAACACUUCAAACAUUCAUUAUCUAACAUCACUAAUCAAUUUACAAUUAUAUCAUGAAUGGGUCAAUUUUUAAACUUUAAUUUCAUUUAAAUUAAAUGGUAGAAACAUGAAAUUCAAGCUUCAAUAAGCAUAAAAAUACGAAAAUAAUUAAAAACGGGGCAAGAAAUCACUUACAAUUGAGCUUAGGAAAAUCAAAACCCUUAACUAUGGUAACCUGAAACUUUCGGCAGCAAGCUUCUGAUUUUUUUGAAGAAGAUGGACACUUAUUUUCUCUUUAUUUUGUCUUUUACCCAAUUUGGACAAAAAUGCCCUUGACCCAUUACUUAGAUAUUUUUCUAGAAAUACCCUUUCGUGUCCAUAACACUAAUUUAUGGUCUAAUUGCCACAUAAACACUUCCAAUUUCAUGCAAUAAUUCAAUUAAGUCAUUUAAUCACUAAUUAGACACACUUUGCAUUUUUCUCAAUUUAGUCCUAAAAAUUCAAUUAAGCACUAAAGCAUUAAAAUUUCCUAUCCAUAUUUUCACACAAUAUUUCAAUCAAUCAGUAACUAAUAAAAAUUUAUAAAAUUAAACUAUUUCACUUCGGAUUUGUGGUUACGAAACCACUAUUCCGAUUAGGCCCUAUUUCGGGCUAUCACAACAUGGUUCACAAUGGAUAUAGACUAUUACUUAGAGGCUUUCUUAAGAUUGAUGAUGACACAUAAAAAUUUAUAGGCCAAGAUAUUCGAGGCCUUUACAUACAGAUUUGGCAAACAUAUGCACUAGAGAAGAUGAAAAUUAUAGUAUGGCGAUUCAUGAACAAUUUUGUGCCUACUAACACUAAUUUGUGCCUAAAAAGACUAAUGGCUGAUGCAACUUACCCUCAUUUCACCUUGAGGUAGAGACUGGCCUUCAUGCUAGCCAAGAUUGCCU